CAGGUCACUCCUACGGGAGGCAGCAGUGGGGAAUCUUGCGCAAUGGUCGAAAGACUGACGCAGCGACGCCGCGUGUGGGAGGACGCCUUUCGGGGUGUAAACCACUGUUGCCCGGGACGAACGGCUCGAUUCGUCGAGCGUGACGGUACCGGGUGAGGAAGCACCGGCUAACUCCGUGCCAGCAGCCGCGGUAAUACGGAGGGUGCGAGCGUUGUCCGGAAUCAUUGGGCGUAAAGGGCGCGUAGGUGGCCCGGUCAGUUCGUGGUGAAAGCGCGGGGCUCAACCCUGCGUCGGCCAUGAAUACUGCCGCGGCUGGAGCACUGUAGAGGCAGGCGGAAUUCCGGGUGUAGCGGUGGAAUGCGUAGAGAUCCGGAAGAACACCGGUGGCGAAGGCGGCUAUCUGGACCGACAUUGACGCUGAGGCGCGAAAGCGUGGGGAGCAAACAGGAUUAGAUACCCUGGUAGUCCACGCCGUAAACGAUGAGUGCUAGACGCUGGUAGGUUUACCUAUCGGUGUCGCAGCUAACGCAUUAAGCACUCCGCCUGGGGAGUACGGUCGCAAGAUUAAAACUUAAAGGAAUUGACG
Molecule: ribosomal RNA, 586 nt
Filed under: uncultured Gemmatimonas sp.
Lineage: Bacteria; Pseudomonadati; Gemmatimonadota; Gemmatimonadia; Gemmatimonadales; Gemmatimonadaceae
Description: bacterial SSU rRNA
Rfam family: Bacterial small subunit ribosomal RNA
Source: RNAcentral